Molecule: ribosomal RNA, 484 nt
Filed under: uncultured bacterium
Lineage: Bacteria
Description: partial 16S ribosomal RNA
Rfam family: Bacterial small subunit ribosomal RNA
Source: RNAcentral
GAUGAACGCUGGCGGCGUGCUUAACACAUGCAAGUCGAACGGUGAAGCAGGAGCUUGCUCUUGUGGAUCAGUGGCGAACGGGUGAGUAACACGUGAGCAACCUGCCCCUGACUCUGGGAUAAGCGCUGGAAACGGCGUCUAAUACUGGAUAUGUGAUGUGACCGCAUGGUCUGCAUCUGGAAAGAAUUUCGGGUGGGGAUGGGCUCGCGGCCUAUCAGCUUGUUGGUGAGGUAAUGGCUCACCAAGGCGUCGACGGGUAGCCGGCCUGGGAGGGUGACCGGCCACACUGGGACUGAGGCACGGCUCAGACUCCUACGGGAGGCAGCAGUGGGGAACAUUGCACAAUGGGCGGAAGCCUGAUGCAGCAACGCCGCGUGAGGGAUGACGGCCUUCGGGUUGUAAACCUCUUUUAGCAGGGAAGAAGCGAAAGUGACGGUACCUGCAGAAAAAGCACCGGCUAACUACGUGCCAGCAGCCGCAGUAA